AUAUGCUGGUUUCAUGCAUAAUUAAUUACCUGCCAUGUAGGCAAAUCACUGAGAUGGCACUGCAUUUAGGAGGGGAACAAAGAGAGAGAUCUCGUUUCACUGUGAUGAAAUGAGUUGUACCUAGUUUCCAACACCUUGAAACGGGCCGACACUGCAUUGAGAGCCUCCGGUUUCAUCGUCGUAAGGACAAAUAUAUGUAGAGCUCCACGAAGCGAAGAUCGGUUGGAAAUUCCAACCGGGACUAGGGGGGGUUUUGUCCCGAUUGGAAUUUCCAACUAGGACAUUUUCACGCGCGCGCCCCCAACCCCCCUUCUCUCUCCACCUUAUCUCCUCCUCUUCCUUUCUUUAUCUCGCAGAUGCUAACUCUCCG
This 370-nucleotide long non-coding RNA is filed under the name Setaria viridis. Its description in RNAcentral is "long non-coding RNA (SVIR_LNC003658)". The record is from RNAcentral. Lineage: Eukaryota; Viridiplantae; Streptophyta; Magnoliopsida; Poales; Poaceae.